RNAcentral lists this ribosomal RNA (301 nucleotides) under uncultured bacterium. RNAcentral's name for it is "partial 16S ribosomal RNA". It matches the Rfam family "Bacterial small subunit ribosomal RNA", at positions 509 to 807 of the family's 1533-position model. The record is from RNAcentral.
CAGUCGCCACGGUAAUACCGAGGAUGCAAGCGUUAUCCGGAAUGAUUGGGCGUAAAGCGUCUGUAGGUGGCUUUUCAAGUCCGCCGUCAAAUCCCAGGGCUCAACCCUGGACAGGCGGUGGAAACUACCAAGCUGGAGUACGGUAGGGGCAGAGGGAGUUUCCGGUGGAGCGGUGAAAUGCGUUGAGAUCAGAAGGAACACCAACGGCGAAAGCACUCUGUUGGGCUGACACUGACACUGAGAGACGAAAGCUAGGGGAGCAAAUGGGAUUAGAUACCCCCGUAGUCCCUGUCUCUUAUAC